UCAACUUGAGUGUGAGCACGCUAGGGUUUGGGCCUGGAGAAAAUAUUAAGUAUUA
Molecule: transfer RNA, 55 nt
Filed under: Buthus occitanus (common European scorpion)
Lineage: Eukaryota; Metazoa; Arthropoda; Arachnida; Scorpiones; Buthidae
Description: tRNA-Gln
Source: RNAcentral